GCGGGAGUAGCUCAGUGGUAGAGCAUCAGCCUUCCAAGCUGAACGUCGCGGGUUCGAAUCUCGUCUCCCGCU
Molecule: transfer RNA, 72 nt
Filed under: Bacteroidota bacterium
Lineage: Bacteria; Pseudomonadati; Bacteroidota
Also listed under: 1 other name
Description: tRNA-Gly
Rfam family: tRNA
About the family: Transfer RNA (tRNA) molecules are approximately 80 nucleotides in length. Their secondary structure includes four short double-helical elements and three loops (D, anti-codon, and T loops).
Source: RNAcentral